RNAcentral lists this unclassified non-coding RNA (406 nucleotides) under soil metagenome. RNAcentral's name for it is "partial contains 5.8S ribosomal RNA, internal transcribed spacer 2, and large subunit ribosomal RNA". The stretch from base 1 to 121 matches the Rfam family "5.8S ribosomal RNA", at positions 35 to 154 of the family's 154-position model. The record is from RNAcentral.
GAUGAAGAACGCAGCGAAAUGCGAUAAGUAAUGUGAAUUGCAGAAUUCAGUGAAUCAUCGAAUCUUUGAACGCACCUUGCGCCCUUUGGCCAUUCCGAAGGGCAUGCCUGUUUGAGUAUCAUGAACACCUCAACUCUUCAUGGUUUUCCAUGAUGAGCUUGGACUAUGGGGGUCUUGCUGGCCUGUGGGUCGGCUCCUCUCAAAUGAAUCAGCUUGCCGGUUUUUGGUGGGCAUCACAGGUGUGAUAACUAUCUACGCUUGUGGUUUUCCACCAGGGUAACCUUCAGCAGUGGAGGUUCACUGGAGCUUACAAAUGUCUCUCCUCUGUGAGGACAGCCCUUUGAAUGUUUGAUCUCAAAUCAGGUAGGACUACCCGCUGAACUUAAGCAUAUCAAUAAGCGGAGGA